Tarenaya hassleriana is the source of this 515-nucleotide long non-coding RNA. RefSeq lists it as uncharacterized. NCBI's taxonomy places the organism in Eukaryota, Viridiplantae, Streptophyta, Magnoliopsida, Brassicales, Cleomaceae. The transcript has 2 exons. The record is from RefSeq and is a predicted model, not a curated record.
UGGGCAACAAUGCAGAUGGUUGAGAGCAAGAGAUGGGGAUGGGUUAUUCAAAUGCAGUGGUUGUCUUCUUCGGGCAUCUAACUUUUCUGGAAAGCUUGGGAAGGGAAAUGAAUACAGAACCAUCAAUCAAAACGGUAACAUUUCUUUAUUAUUCAAGAGAACCAACAAAAAGGGGGAAAAAAAGAUGUGGUUCUAAUGGGAAGAUGUGGAAUCAAAAAUGGAGAAACAUUCUUUUCACCCUGUUUGCCAUUGCUACCAAGGUGGGCGAAGAAAGAUGAGAGAAAAGGCUCAUCUGUUGCGAAAACGAGUUAACUUCCUUGAUUUGUUUAUGGCUCAUAUUCAGCUGUUAUAGCAGAUGAAUCCACAUCUUGAGACUGAAAUAACAACCAUUUCUCGCCUCUUGUCAGUUCCAAUUGCAGAUGGUUGUAGCUGAUGGCGAUUAGCAAACUAAUCCUACCCUUCACAUGUCUUUCCAUCGAUAACUUGAAUACAACACCAAACCCGGUUUCACUACA